Zophobas morio is the source of this 527-nucleotide long non-coding RNA. RefSeq lists it as uncharacterized. The record is from RefSeq and is a predicted model, not a curated record. The transcript is spliced from 3 exons. Lineage: Eukaryota; Metazoa; Arthropoda; Insecta; Coleoptera; Tenebrionidae.
GCUUUUUCGAGUUACCUGUUACUCGUAGCUAACUCAGAUCUUCUUCUCUAAGUAUCAUAUAGAAGCCAUCUGGUCCAAACACCGACGAAAAUUCAUUCAGUGCCUCAAUAACCUUUGGAAGAACCUCUCAACCGCAUUUCUCAGCUUAAGCCUCAAGGAUGUAGCCGUUCCGAUGCAAUCCAGCUGUUCCACGCAGAAUGUUUACAGUGAAGAUCACCGGCUAGAAGGGUUGGGGAGUCACUAAAGGAGCGUCAAUAUCGAACAACAUAAAUGGUUGGCUGAGUGGUUGACAGAUUGCAAUCCAGUCAUGGGUCCCUCUCUAGCCAGGUUGAGAGUAAUUCCAACUACCUCGAUUACCUGCAGAGCUGGCAAUGCUAUUUAAUUUUGUUAGAUAUUUCGUUUGAUCAGGAUAGCUACUCCUCCCCACUGGCGCACGACCGAGCCUGGGGAUUUCGUCGCAAAGUUUCAAAUAUUAGAUGGUACAUUUGGGGAGAGCUAUAUCUCGCAGACGGCACAGACAUCUAUUC